Molecule: ribosomal RNA, 490 nt
Filed under: uncultured bacterium
Lineage: Bacteria
Description: partial 16S ribosomal RNA
Rfam family: Bacterial small subunit ribosomal RNA
Source: RNAcentral
AUUGAACGCUGGCGGCAGGCCUAACACAUGCAAGUCGAACGGUAACAGGAAGAAGCUUGCUUCUUUGCUGACGAGUGGCGGACGGGUGAGUAAUGUGUGGGAAACUGCCUGAUGGAGGGGGAUAACUACUGGAAACGGUAGCUAAUACCGCAUAAUGUCGAAAGACCAAAGAGGGGGACCUUCGGGCCUCUUGCCAUCGGAUGUGCCCAGAUGGGAUUAGCUAGUAGGUGGGGUAACGGCUCACCUAGGCGACGAGCCCUAGCUGGUCUGAGAGGAUGACCGGCCACACUGGAACUGAGACACGGUCCAGACUCCUACGGGAGGCAGCAGUGGGGAAUAUUGCACAAUGGGCGCAAGCCUGAUGCAGCAAUGCCGCGUGUAUGAAGAAGGCCUUCGGGUUGUAAAGUACUUUCAGCGGGGAGGAAGGGAGUAAAGUUAAUACCUUUGCUCAUUGACGUUACCCGCAGAAGAAGCACCGGCUAACUCCGUG